GAGACUUUCUCAGUUUUUGCAUCGCAUGUGAGGGUUUGUUGGGUGCUCCUAAACCCUCAUCAUGGUCAUUCUUCUUGGCUGGGCUGUUGAUUUAAUUAGGAUUUAUUAGGAGAAAAACCUUCCCGGAAGCUGCAGAAGGACAAAUACAGAAUCCGUGUCUGGGAGAAACCUCGUGGCCUGGUCUCCAUUAUUUGAGAUGAGUUACAUCUUGGAGGUGAGGACGUGCCUCGUGGUCUAAAGCUUCGGCACAAGGGCCCAACUGGAAUUCCACUUACGGGACCAUAGCUGUCUGCAGUGCAGGAAGCCAACUAUUAAGGGGAAACAAAAGUGUUCUUAGGAGUCCUGCUGUCACUGUGGAUUGAGCCGGUGAAGCCCUGAGGGAUUUCAUCGCUGAGGUGGAUGGAGAAGCAGCUGGGGGCCUUGGCUGUAAGGACCCCUAAGGGCCUGAUCUUUUGGCCAGAAGGAGAUUAAAAAGAUGCCCCUCAAGAUGGCUGUGCCUGUCAGCUGCAUGGAGCUUCGUUCAAGUAUUUUCUGAGCCUGAUGGAUUUACAGUGAUCUUCAGUGGUCUGGGGAAUAACGCUGGUGGAACCAUGCACUGGAAUGACACACGCCCGGCACAUUUCAGGAUACUAAAAGUGGUUUUAAGGGAGGCUGUGGCUGAAUGCCUCAUGGAUUCUUACAGCUUGGAUGUCCAUGGGGGACGAAGGACUGCAGCUGGCUGAGAGGGUUGAGAUCUCUGUUUACUUAGAUCUCUGCCAACUUCCUUUGGGUCUCCCUAUGGAAUGUAAGACCCCGACUCUUCCUGGUGAAGCAUCUGAUGCACGUUCCAUCCGGCGCUCAGCUGGGCUUGAGGACUUCGCAGGUGAGCAGUAACGGAAAUCAGCCCCGUUUAUUCCUCCCAGCACCUGCCUUAUCCAACUCCCCACGCUGUGGCUGAGUCCCAGCCUGCUAUGGAAGCAUCACUGGACUCCCAUUGAACUCUGUGCAGAUUCGCUGUUCGUAGACAUGGUACCUGAUGGACACCAAGCUACGUACAGCUUCAAGGCCCCUUCUUUCUUUGCUAAUAAAAAAUAAAAAAUAAAAACAUAAUACACGU
Molecule: long non-coding RNA, 1096 nt
Filed under: Homo sapiens (human)
Lineage: Eukaryota; Metazoa; Chordata; Mammalia; Primates; Hominidae
Description: Pvt1 oncogene
Rfam family: Pvt1 oncogene conserved region 2 (bases 278-442)
Source: RNAcentral